AAAAAAAAGGGCGCUUUCUAAAUUGCAUUUGAAAGCCAGAACUUCCCACAGAAUUCACCUACUCCAACUUUCUCAUUCCACAGAUGGAGAAAGCGAGGAGAGAACAGAGGGAAAGGGAGGAGAGAGGUCGAGAAUAAGAGGGGUAUAAGAAAUAGAAGACAGGUCAGGUGGUCUGGGGAAGUGGAAAGGAACUUCCCGAAUUGACGGGGGGUGCUGAGGGACAAGAGAUAAACUCCAGAGUCAGGUGAGGUGGUGUGGGACAUUCCACCAGGCACUCUCAAGGAAAGAAAAGGCCAUGAGAUGUCCUGGCAGGAGCAGUGGGAAAUGUGAGUCCUGAUCCUGCAGCAGCAAAAAGUAAAGGAUGCUUCGUGCAGCAGGACAAACGCACUGUUUAAAAUCGUCAGGACAUGGAAGCAACCUAAAUGUCUGUCAACAGAGGAAUGGAUAAAGAAGAUAUGGUCUGUCGUCUCCGUCCUCAAGACCGCAAUUCAGCCUCAAGGGCCCACCCCCUCUCCCAAGCUCCUCCCCUUCCGUCUCCUGGACCGCGAGCUUUGGAAUCUAAACUCCUGGCAUCCGGGAUUACGCGGUAGACAGACACAUGUCUGUGCUGGGUUCACUUGCCUAGAAGACUACCGGAAGGCGACACCUACC
Non-coding RNA from Kogia breviceps (pygmy sperm whale), 651 nucleotides. Lineage: Eukaryota; Metazoa; Chordata; Mammalia; Artiodactyla; Physeteridae. The record is from RefSeq and is a predicted model, not a curated record.